Molecule: ribosomal RNA, 253 nt
Filed under: bacterium
Lineage: Bacteria
Also listed under: 1 other name
Description: partial 16S ribosomal RNA
Rfam family: Bacterial small subunit ribosomal RNA
Source: RNAcentral
UACGUAGGGUGCGAGCGUUAAUCGGAAUUACUGGGCGUAAAGCGUGCGCAGGCGGUUUUGUAAGCCAGAUGUGAAAUCCCCGGGCUUAACCUGGGAACUGCAUUUGGGACUGCAAGGCUUGAGUGCGGCAGAGGGAGGUGGAAUUCCACGUGUAGCAGUGAAAUGCGUAGAUAUGUGGAGGAACACCGAUGGCGAAGGCAGCCUCCUGGGCCAGCACUGACGCUCAUGCACGAAAGCGUGGGGAGCAAACAGG